UUCAAGCUCCUUCUGUGCCUCUUCCUUUCUCUUCUGGGCUGUUCUUCUGCAAGCAAGCAAGAAAACCCUUUGCAACUGGAGAAAGGCUGGGCACACGGUGGCAGGAGUUGAAGAGCACUGAGAACGUGCGAGGAGGGCUUGGGAACCCGAAAGCCCUAAGACGGGAAUGGUGCGCCUGCUGAGGCCGCCCCAGACUGCAGGGGGGAAGUUCGGAUUCGGAAGGCAAUUUUGGGACUCCUGAGGCCGAGACCCCAAUCCACUCACUGGGAAAGGAGUUGGAAG
Python bivittatus (Burmese python) is the source of this 282-nucleotide non-coding RNA. The record is from RefSeq and is a predicted model, not a curated record. Lineage: Eukaryota; Metazoa; Chordata; Lepidosauria; Squamata; Pythonidae.